AACGGCCAUAUCACGUUGAAUCAUCGGUUCCUAUACGAUCACAGAAGUUAAACAACGUCGAGCCUGGUCAAUACCUAGAUGGGUAACCGUUUGUGAAUACUAGGUGUUGUAA
Molecule: non-coding RNA, 112 nt
Organism: Acanthosepion pharaonis
Lineage: Eukaryota; Metazoa; Mollusca; Cephalopoda; Sepiida; Sepiidae
Source: the annotation of a GenBank genome assembly